AUACUAGAACGGUACAAUUUUAUGAUCCCAGGCUGGUUAAGAAAGUCAAAUAUUAGCC
Molecule: ribosomal RNA, 58 nt
Filed under: Eimeria brunetti
Lineage: Eukaryota; Apicomplexa; Conoidasida; Eucoccidiorida; Eimeriidae
Description: small subunit ribosomal RNA
Source: RNAcentral